AUUGAAGACUUUACAUAAAAAAACCCCACAAAUUACUGAGGAUCAGAUUGCUCCCAAUAUUAAAGAAAAACAACGCAUUAGGUAAACAGAAAAUACCAUGAGCUUCAUCUAAAAAAAAUUCUCUUCCUCAUCAAUCCAGCUGGGACUGAAAGUUUCACUACUUAAACCAGGGUGGAUAUUGGUGGAAUAUGGAGAUCCAGGACCAUGCAGUAUGCAGGGCUGGAGACAGUUCUUAUAGCCUUGCUGACGAGAGUAAUGGAUCAAGCUUGUAUUGUGUCCAACAUUUAAAAGCAUUGUGGUACCACUCACCAAUUGCACUGACCAUCUCACAUACUAUUCAAGGGUUAAAACCUUUGUUUAGAGGCUGAAAAUCAUCUUUAAACAUUUCCAAGUAAAAAUGAACUUGUAUUAGGAACUGCAAGGGAUUUACCAUGGCUAUCUUAGAGUUUGUUCCUUUCAAGAAUACCAAUAUAUGAUUUUAAAUAUAGGAAUAUAUUUGCAAGCAUUUACUGUAGCUUCAAAAUGCUACAGAAUGGCUUAGCUUGUCUGCUGGAUCCUGCAUACUUUUCAGCUGAAUUCAUAAUAAAACUGUUAUUACUUCUAAAGAAGCAGAAUUAUUUUGGGCUCUAGGAUUCUGUUACUUAUUUUGGGUGGACAUUGGCGGAUGGAUAAAAACUCCGAUUAUUCAAAUUCUCUUGUCACUGCUUUGAGUUAGAAUUGUAAUAAAUUGAAAAAGCAGCAGCACAGCUUUACAAUUUGCAGAAUUAAAAAAAUAGCUAAGUUAGAAAUUUAGCUAGCUAGUAAUUUUUCUGGCAUACACUGUUUUACCCUUUAACUAUGGGUGAAACCCAGAUUGGUCAUAUAAUCGCCUAACUGGGAUUUAGCUCAAAUUUAGCUCAUUUUUUAAAACUCAGAAUAGCCUUGCUCCAGCAGCCACAACACCUUUUGGGCACCUAAAUUCUUUAGAUGAUUUACAUGUUGUGCUGUGAAGAUGCCUCCAUGUAUAAAUUUAGGCUUCUUUAUACAGUAUAGUUAAAAGUUGUAAGACCCAGGAAGGCUGAUGGAUCUUACAGUAUUCCUGGAUCUUACAGCUGCACCUCCAGAAAUGUAAUAUAUCUCAUUCAAUACACCAAAUGCCCUGAUGGAAAAUAUGUAGUUGAGACCAAACAACAACUGUGCAUCAGAAUGAAUGCACACCGGAAAUCUAUCAAAGACAAUACCCAAUUACCUGUGGGGGGCACAUUUCUCACAAGAAAACCAUUCUCUCUCCAAUCUCUUAGUUCUAAUUCUAAAAGGUAAUUUACAAAAUGCCUUUCACAGACAAGCCUACAAACUUCACUUCAUCAACCUACUGGAUAUAAAAAAGCAUGCUCUAGAUAUAGACACUGGAUUUAUGACACAUUAUAACCUGCCUAACACCUGACUCCCCAGGUACCUCUCCAAUAUUUACCAGCUACAUUCAUUCCCCCCUCCACCUCCUCCCAAUCUGUCUCUCACCCACUGACUCCUCAAUUUACAUCUUCACUGACUGCCCAUCUUGCAUGCAUACCAGCCUCUGGCUUCUUUAACUAUUCUGGGAUUGGCCGCUAGGGUCCCCCCCCCCCCCACAGUUGCUGACUGGUGUCACGGGGGGCACAAGAGGCACUAGACACCUAUGCCCACUGAGGUGUUGGGGCUUAAAGCCCACUUUAUGGAAAUGGGAGGUUCCCUCCUAGCUUGCUCCUGCAGCCAUGUGGCUGACGGCAGGUGAAACUUGGGGGCAUCUGAACCUCAAACCUCUGGGCUUGGGCCUGCAUGUAGGAUGUCUGCCAAAAGACUCUGGAAAUAUCUGAAACCCCUGGUGGGGGUGGAGGAUGUUUGCCAGUUGUAGGGCCACUUAUGGUUCUGGACUGACUCAUGGAUUUGGACUCGAUUUGGCUUGGAACACAAAACAUUUCUUCAAAAAACCCCCAAAACCUUCAUGUCACUGAGUCUUUUUAAGAGUCUUUAAGAGACCCCAGACACUCUGAUCUUCCACUCAGAUACCUUCAUGGGUUCUCCUAUAUCAACUUAUCCUUCUAAGAUGGCUUUAGUACAGAAUCCAACAACUUUUCAGGUAACUUUCAGCACCUAUCCAUCUGCCACAACUGCAAAGUUUCGUGCUUGCCCCCAUCCUAAGCACACCAAUGCUUGAGGCAGCACAUAUAGACCUUAAUUAGAGCAUUUAUGGUUGGUCAAACAAUAUCUGCUUAUAUGUAAGUAUUUAAUGAGUCAAUUUAAAAUAAUUUGCAUAUACAUAAAACACACGGUGUUGCAAAAUUUUGAGGAAGGUCAUUUACAUACACCAUAUUGAUGUUGAUUUGUUUAUGGCAUGUUAGAGCAGAUCAGAUGUGAUUGUAGAGAAAUAAAAGAUUAAUUGAAAUAGAUUCUCUCUCCACAGAAAGGGUUAAGAAUCAUUGCAGACCCCCCACUACAAAAAUGAAAGGAUAAGUUUCUCAGUUCUGUUCCAUCCCCUUUAUGCCUGAUAAGAGUCUUCACUGGCAUGAAGGGGCAUAAUGUUUUGAACUUCUCUGGGAAAGCUAAAAAAAACAGAAUUAAUGAAAGUAAUUGAUACACAAGUUGAAUGAAGAUGGGUUCCUGUGGAUAUUCUGUGAGGUGUAAAAACUUAAAUAAAGAGACAAGGCUAAAAUGCAUGACAACAUUUUAUAUUCAAAAUAUUUUUGGUUUCUCUUGUGUGUCAUUCAAAAGCCGGUAGCUUAUUGUAGUUUUGUUAAGAAUGUACUUUAUUUAAAGAUCAUUCAUGUAAGCACUCCUUUUCAAAUUUUGAAAAUGUAUUACUAAGUAAUUAAUGCUAUAGCAAUAAUUCCACUGUAAUUGUAGAAAAGAUAUAUUACUACUAGUCAUUACCUGGCACUGUUUUUGGUACAUUUUUAGUUCCUGUUGGAACUUCAGAUUUUCCUCUUCUAGUUUAUUUCUGUUUAUGGCUAUUUCAUUCACAGUAAACUUUAAUUUUUCAAUAAUGAA
Molecule: long non-coding RNA, 3003 nt
Organism: Alligator mississippiensis (American alligator)
Lineage: Eukaryota; Metazoa; Chordata; Crocodylia; Alligatoridae
Exons: 2
Source: RefSeq, a predicted model, not a curated record